GAUGAACGCUGGCGGCGUGCUUAACACAUGCAAGUCGAACGAUGAAGCCCAGCUUGCUGGGUGGAUUAGUGGCGAACGGGUGAGUAACACGUGAGUAACCUGCCCUUAACUCUGGGAUAAGCCUGGGAAACUGGGUCUAAUACCGGAUAGGAGCGUCCACCGCAUGGUGGGUGUUGGAAAGAUUUAUCGGUUUUGGAUGGACUCGCGGCCUAUCAGCUUGUUGGUGAGGUAUUGGCUCACCAAGGCGACGACGGGUAGCCGGCCUGAGAGGGUGACCGGCCACACUGGGACUGAGACACGGCCCAGACUCCUACGGGAGGCAGGAGUGGGGAAUAUUGCACGAAGGGCGCAAGCCUGAUGCAGCGACGCCGCGUGAGGGAUGACGGCCUGCGGGUUGUAAACCUCUUUCAGUAGGGAAGAAGCGAAAUGAACGGUACCUGCAGAAGAAGCACCGGCUAACUACGU
Molecule: ribosomal RNA, 465 nt
Filed under: uncultured bacterium
Lineage: Bacteria
Description: partial 16S ribosomal RNA
Rfam family: Bacterial small subunit ribosomal RNA
Source: RNAcentral